Molecule: ribosomal RNA, 307 nt
Filed under: Donuea sp. MR79
Lineage: Eukaryota; Metazoa; Arthropoda; Arachnida; Araneae; Liocranidae
Description: partial 12S ribosomal RNA
Source: RNAcentral
AGGUAGUAAUAAACCUAUUUAUAAUGGCGGCUUUUCAUCUAAUUAGAGGAACCUGUUUAAUAAUCGACAAUCCACGAUAAAUUUUACUUUAAAUUAUAUAAUUUAUAUACCGCCAUUUAAAGAAUUUUUUAAAAAAUUUUUUCUAAAUAAAAAAUAAAAAAUUAGGUCAAGGUGUAGUUUAUAUUAAAGAAUAAAAUGGGUUACAUUAAACAAAUUUAAGGAUUUUAAAAUUAAAAUUUUUUAUUAAAUAGAUUUAAAAGUAAUUAUAUUUAAUAAUAUUAAAAUAUGAAUAAGAUAAUAAAAGUGU